UACGGAGGGUGCAAGCGUUAUCCGGAUUUACUGGGUGUAAAGGGUGCGUAGGUGGAUAAUUAAGUCAGUGGUGAAAUCUUCAGGCUUAACCUGGAAACUGCCAUUGAUACUAUUUAUCUUGAAUACUUUGGAGGUAAGCGGAAUAUGUCAUGUAGCGGUGAAAUGCUUAGAUAUGACAUAGAACACCAAUUGCGAAGGCAGCUUACUACACAGUAAUUGACACUGAGGCACGAAAGCGUGGGGAUCAAACAGG
This 253-nucleotide ribosomal RNA is filed under the name uncultured bacterium. RNAcentral's name for it is "partial 16S ribosomal RNA". It matches the Rfam family "Bacterial small subunit ribosomal RNA", at positions 524 to 776 of the family's 1533-position model. The record is from RNAcentral.